GCAUGGGUGGUUCAGUGGUAGAAUUCUCACCUGCCACGUAGGAGGGCUGGGUUUGAUUCCCAGCCCAUGCA
Transfer RNA from Loxodonta africana (African savanna elephant), 71 nucleotides. It matches the Rfam family "tRNA". Rfam says of the family: Transfer RNA (tRNA) molecules are approximately 80 nucleotides in length. Their secondary structure includes four short double-helical elements and three loops (D, anti-codon, and T loops). NCBI's taxonomy places the organism in Eukaryota, Metazoa, Chordata, Mammalia, Proboscidea, Elephantidae. The record is from Rfam.